This 373-nucleotide long non-coding RNA is filed under the name Trifolium pratense (red clover). RNAcentral describes it as "long non-coding RNA (TPRA_LNC004010)". Lineage: Eukaryota; Viridiplantae; Streptophyta; Magnoliopsida; Fabales; Fabaceae. The record is from RNAcentral.
CUCUGAUAAGAUAUUUUUAAAACCUCAGUGGCUCUGAACUAUUUAAAUGGAAACGUUUGGUAUUUGAUACUGAACAGCUGUCCAUAAAAAUAGCAGUUACCGAGUAAUUUUCUGCACGUGGUUUAACGUGUGUCAGGUAGUGGGUGGUUAAUGAUGACCUUUUGUAUUCAUAAUUUCUUGUCUAUUUGCGUAACUUCCCAAAUUUGCCAUUUUCGUGUUAACUGUACUCAUUUAAAUAAACUUACACAAUACACUUGCACACUAUUCACUUUCACAACCUACACUUUCAUAUUCUCUCUAAACCUCCAACACAUUUUCUUUCUCUCUCGUUAGUUUUCCAAACCCUACCCUAAUCUCCAACAAUGGCCGGACC